GCCUUUGUAGCUUAAUUGGUUAAAGCAUUCGUCUGAAGAUCGAAUUAUGUGAGUUCAAAUCUCAACUUAGGCA
RNAcentral lists this transfer RNA (73 nucleotides) under Millerozyma farinosa. RNAcentral's name for it is "transfer RNA-Phe". It matches the Rfam family "tRNA". From Rfam's summary of the family: Transfer RNA (tRNA) molecules are approximately 80 nucleotides in length. Their secondary structure includes four short double-helical elements and three loops (D, anti-codon, and T loops). The record is from RNAcentral. Lineage: Eukaryota; Fungi; Ascomycota; Pichiomycetes; Serinales; Debaryomycetaceae.